AUUGAACGCUGGCGGCAUGCCUUACACAUGCAAAUCGAACGGUAACGGGCCUUCGGGUGCCGACGAGUGGCGAACGGGUGAGUAAUACAUCGGAACGUGCCCGAUCGUGGGGGAUAACGAGGCGAAAGCUUUGCUAAUACCGCAUACGAUCUACGGAUGAAAGCAGGGGACCGCAAGGCCUUGCGCGGACGGAGCGGCCGAUGGCAGAUUAGGUAGUUGGUGGGAUAAAAGCUUACCAAGCCGACGAUCUGUAGCUGGUCUGAGAGGAUGAUCAGCCACACUGGGACUGAGACACGGCCCAGACUCCUACGGGAGGCAGCAGUGGGGAAUUUUGGACAACGGGCGCAAGCCUGAUCCAGCAAUGCCGCGUGCAGGAUGAAGGCCUUCGGGUUGUAAACUGAUUUUGUACGGAACGAAAAGCCUUCUUUUAAUACAGGAGGGUCAUGACGGUACCGUAAGAAUAAGCACCGGCUAACUACGUG
This 482-nucleotide ribosomal RNA is filed under the name uncultured bacterium. Its description in RNAcentral is "partial 16S ribosomal RNA". It matches the Rfam family "Bacterial small subunit ribosomal RNA", at positions 30 to 507 of the family's 1533-position model. The record is from RNAcentral.